UAUACCGUAGCUUGCUACACCAUAGACUGUGAGUUGCGAACGGGUGAGUAACGCGUAGGUAACCUGCCUAUUAGAGGGGGAUAACUAUUGGAAACGAUAGCUAAUACCGCAUAACAGUAUGUAACACAUGUUAGAUGCUUGAAAGAUGCAAUUGCAUCGCUAGUAGAUGGACCUGCGUUGUAUUAGCUAGUAGGUAGGGUAAAGGCCUACCUAGGCAACGAUACAUAGCCGACCUGAGAGGGUGAUCGGCCACACUGGGACUGAGACACGGCCCAGACUCCUACGGGAGGCAGCAGUAGGGAAUCUUCGGCAAUGGGGGGAACCCUGACCGAGCAACGCCGCGUGAGUGAAGAAGGUUUUCGGAUCGUAAAGCUCUGUUGUUAAGGAAGAACGAGUGUGAGAAUGGAAAGUUCAUGCUGGACG
RNAcentral lists this ribosomal RNA (423 nucleotides) under Streptococcus anginosus. RNAcentral describes it as "bacterial SSU rRNA". It matches the Rfam family "Bacterial small subunit ribosomal RNA", at positions 68 to 474 of the family's 1533-position model. The record is from RNAcentral. Lineage: Bacteria; Bacillati; Bacillota; Bacilli; Lactobacillales; Streptococcaceae.